RNAcentral lists this ribosomal RNA (464 nucleotides) under uncultured bacterium. RNAcentral's name for it is "partial 16S ribosomal RNA". It matches the Rfam family "Bacterial small subunit ribosomal RNA", at positions 28 to 507 of the family's 1533-position model. The record is from RNAcentral.
GACGAACGCUGGCGGCGUGCUUAACACAUGCAAGUCGAACGGUAAGGCCCCAGCUUUCUGGGGUACACGAGUGGCGAACGGGUGAGUAACACGUGGGUGACCUGCCCCUCACUUCGGGAUAAGCCUAGGAAACUGGGGCUAAUACCGGAUACGACCGCCCCCUGCGGGUGGGGGGGAAGGUUGUUCGGUCGGGGAUGGGUGCGCGGCUUAUCAGCUUGUUGGUGGGGUAGUGGCCUACCAAGGCGGCGACGGGUAGCCGGCCUGAGAGGGUGGACGGCCACAUUGGGACUGAGACACGGCCCAGACUCCUACGGGAGGCAGCAGUGGGGAAUAUUGCACAAUGGGCGGAAGCCUGAUGCAGCAACGCCGCGUGGGGGAUGACGGCCUUCGGGUUGUAAACCGCUUUCGCCAGCGACGAAGGUUUUGUGACGGUAAUUGGUAAAGAAGCACCGGCUAACUACGUG